Molecule: unclassified non-coding RNA, 356 nt
Filed under: soil metagenome
Description: partial contains 5.8S ribosomal RNA, internal transcribed spacer 2, and large subunit ribosomal RNA
Rfam family: 5.8S ribosomal RNA (bases 3-119)
Source: RNAcentral
GAGAAGAACGCAGCGAAAUGCGAUAAGUAAUGUGAAUUGCAGAAUUCAGUGAAUCAUCGAAUCUUUGAACGCACAUUGCGCCCGCUGGUAUUCCGGCGGGCAUGCCUGUUCGAGCGUCAUUUCAACCCUCAAGCUCUCCGGAGUUUGGUGUUGGGGCGCCUGGGGCUUUUCGACCUCAGGGCCCUCAAGUCCAUCGGCGGGACCGCCAGGACACUGAGCGCAGUAGUAUUAUUUCGCUCGGUAGGAUCUUCCACGGCGGGUCGAUCUGGCCGCUAAACCCCCCAAUUCUCACCAAAGGUUGACCUCGGAUCAGGUAGGAAUACCCGCUGAACUUAAGCAUAUCAAUAAGCGGAGGA